GCUCAGGUGGCGGAAUUGGUAGACGCGCUAGAUUAAGGAUCUAGUGCCGCAAGGCGUGGGGGUUCGAGUCCCCCCUUGAGCACCA
RNAcentral lists this transfer RNA (85 nucleotides) under Opitutia bacterium. RNAcentral describes it as "Opitutae bacterium (marine metagenome) tRNA-Leu". It matches the Rfam family "tRNA". From Rfam's summary of the family: Transfer RNA (tRNA) molecules are approximately 80 nucleotides in length. Their secondary structure includes four short double-helical elements and three loops (D, anti-codon, and T loops). Further hydrogen bonds mediate the characteristic L-shaped molecular structure. tRNAs have two regions of fundamental functional importance: the anti-codon, which is responsible for specific mRNA codon recognition, and the 3' end, to which the tRNAs corresponding amino acid is attached (by aminoacyl-tRNA synthetases). tRNAs cope with the degeneracy of the genetic code in two manners: having more than one tRNA (with a specific anti-codon) for a particular amino acid; and 'wobble' base-pairing, i.e. permitting non-standard base-pairing at the 3rd anti-codon position. The record is from RNAcentral. Lineage: Bacteria; Pseudomonadati; Verrucomicrobiota; Opitutia.